Molecule: long non-coding RNA, 2661 nt
Filed under: Ovis aries (sheep)
Lineage: Eukaryota; Metazoa; Chordata; Mammalia; Artiodactyla; Bovidae
Description: lncRNA (ENSOARG00000025563.1)
Source: RNAcentral
AUGAACACAAUCCAUGGAAUUCUCCAGGCCAGAAUACUGGAGUGGGUAGCCUUUCCCUUUCCAGGGGAUCUUCCCGACCCAGGGAUUGAACCCAGGUCUCUUGCAUUGCAGGCAGAUUCUUUACCAGCUGAGUCACAAGGGAAGCCCAAGAAUACCAGAGUGGGUAACCUAUCCCUUCUCCAGUGGAUCUUCCCAACCCAGGAACUGAACUGGGGUCUCCUGCAUUGCAGGUGGAUUCAACUGAGCUAUCAGGAAAGCACUUUAUGGCAAGAAAUCUCCACUCAACUGGAUUCUGAAACUGAUGGAUUCCCAAGACCACUCUGCUUUGACCUAAGAGAGGGCAGGACAGGAGUAGCCUAUCCCUCUGAACUCCAGGUACCCUUAAUAUUGGCAAAACCUUUUCCGUCAUUUUUUUUUUCUCAUGGCAAGCUGGGUAUUAGGUUCAUCCCAGUAAUUUCCUCUUACCUCUUCCAUUCUUCACACCCCCACAAACCCACUGAGUUAGAACAAUGCUCUCAGUCUACCUUUGUCUCAGACAUACUCCCAAGCAUGUUGGUUCAGGCUCUCCUUAGAAUAUCCCCAUAUCCUCCCAUCUGUUCACUCAUUCGAAUGUGCAAACAGAUCCUCACCUACGGACCGUUCUCUCCCACUCUCCCUCCCUCCCUCUCCCCAUCCGUGCCCCUCACUCCUGCCCGCGCGCUCACACGCACACUCACACGGAAACACACCAUAGACGCCGAUAAACACAUAUGCCCUCCUUCCCAAUUCAAUCCUAAUCCAGUUAUCCGGAUCUCCCCAUGUCCGCUCGGUCUCUCCAGACGGUCCCGGCGUUGAAGCCGUGUGAAAUACUCACCUCCAAAGCCUGUGGGAAACUUCAUGAAGUGAGAAUAAUUUCCAUACAUGUUGACUCUUCAGUUCAUAGUCCUCCCGGACGCGUCUGCUCAGUGGCUCGGCCUCUCCCUGCUCCCAAGCGCAGCCGGGCUCCCUUCAACUUGGGCUAACAAGAGUGGUCAUCGCUUCCUAGCAGCCCGGGCAGCUCGGGCUGGGCCAGCCCUCUGGGAUUAGUCAGGAAUCUGCCUCUCGAUCUGAGCGUCCACAUCGUGCGUCGAGCCGGCGGUGGCGGCAGCAGCUGGUGCCUGUCAGUAAUCAAGUCGGGGCAGGGCUGCUGCGUGCGACUCUUGCAGCUCCCGGCUGGUCCCCAGAGGUCCCCACCGGUGGCACGAUCUGUUAUCUGGGAAGCCAAUCGAUGUGCGACUGACCCAGAGUAGGUCAGGACAGAGGAGGGGGAAGUGGGGAGGGACUCUUUAGAUGUCUUUUCUUUGACUUGCGUCCCCCCCCCAAAAAAAAAUCAAUGGGGUUUUAUUAAAAUGGGUUUCUUCCCUAUGGCUUCUAACUAGCCAAUGCACUUGGUGCUUGAUCUGGGAAAGGAGGUGGGGAUGGAGCGAAGAGAGAACAGACCCCUUCAUAAACCCAAGAUUGGCCAAGAGUGAGAGAUCCUCCCCAACUUUGGAAAAACUAAUCCAGAGUGGCCCUUAGACUUGCAGUAAGCACCGCCUGCUCUGGUGGCCGGAAGCACUGGUCUGUGCUCAAAUGGCCGAAGCUUGAGGAGGGCAGUAAGGAGCCAGAGCUCACUCACACAGAACACAGUACAGGUAGGAAAGACAGACAGGUGGGCCUCCGAUGUGUCACUGAAGGGAAGCGUUCACCUUAUAUACCACUGUCAUCAGGCUGCCUGUUCAAAAAGUGCCAUUGAAUCCUCACUGACACAGAGCUUCUUUGGUGGAACCGGCCCGCAGAUCAUAGAGUCUAUGCAUCCCUUUGAUGUUUGGAUCUGUUAUACAGAUUUCCUGACAAGCCACUGCUCCACCUAUACUCGAACACCUCCAGUGAUGGGAAGCUCACUAUCAUUUCAUUCCAUUCCAUUUCUGAACAGCUCAUGAGAAAGUUUUCACUGAGCUGAAAUCUAUCUCCUCCCCGCUUCUUCUGCCCACAGGUUCUAGGCUACUCCCUGGGGCCACACAGGAGAAGCCUGUGGGGUCUUUCACAAUAGGAUCAUCUGCAAAUUCGGAGAUAAAUCUCCCAAGGCCAUAAUCUACAGUCUCUAGGCAUUCUUGUCUCUUUUAUUCAUUUCACAUAUCACCAACUGUUCAAGUCUAUUCACAAUCUAUUCUUCUUCUAUGAAUGUACUUCAAUUUACGUAGAUACCCCUAUGGUAGGGAAAGGGGUCAGCCAGACUCGGAUACAAUACCCCAUAUAUAGUCCAAAUCUUCUCCUCGUGGAGAAUGUAUUGGGAGUGCAAUGGGGGUGCUGUCAGCACACCCACCAGAGGUCAGGGUCAUGAUCUGAGCUCUGAGGGUUUUCUUCAGAUGCAGCACUGCACGUAGACCACCACAGAGGCCGUCAAAUCAGAGUCCCAUGGUGGGGAAAUAAAAAGCAAGAUUCACAUGGUAGGAGAGCCUGGAACAAAAGCUAAGAAUGAAAGGUUAGAGGCAGGAAUAGAGUCGGGAUGGCAAGAGGGGAGGAGGCCAAGAUGGAGGGUCAGAGCAAAAGCAGGUCAGGAAGGAGGAAGAAAGAUCAGGCCAGCACUGUGAAGAGUCUUCUUGCCCAGAGCUCCCCUAGCAGGCCUCUGGUCUCAGAACAUCAGCUGAGACCUGCAUGGAC